This 29-nucleotide non-coding RNA is filed under the name Callithrix jacchus (white-tufted-ear marmoset). Lineage: Eukaryota; Metazoa; Chordata; Mammalia; Primates; Cebidae. The record is from RNAcentral. RNAcentral also lists the same sequence under 3 other names.
UGCCUGAUUUCCUGAUUUGAUAUUCUGCA